Oryza sativa Japonica Group (Japanese rice) is the source of this 1609-nucleotide long non-coding RNA. RefSeq lists it as uncharacterized. Lineage: Eukaryota; Viridiplantae; Streptophyta; Magnoliopsida; Poales; Poaceae. The record is from RefSeq and is a predicted model, not a curated record.
AGUACAAUGAAGAUCCUGAACUUGUCAUCGAGUUAAAAAACUUUCUCAAACCGUAAAACAGGUAUCUGACGUCUCUUAACUAAUUAAAACCGUUAUAAUAGGUUCUAUGACAGUAUUGCACCCGGUUUUGUCAGCUGACUCAGUAUAGGUCCCACAUGUAAGCCUCUUCUUCCUUCCUCUCUCCUUCCCUUUCCCUUUCCACGGGCGACGGGCGUGCGCGGGCGGCGGGGACGGAGAGGUUGGGCAUGGUGAGGUUGGCGCGGCCGGUGGGGGAGGAGCUGAGCGCAGCCGGCGGUCAGCGGGGCGGGAGAGGAGGAGGGCGUCGGCGGCCGAAGACGGGCGACGCGGCGGCGGUGACGGCUGCGACGCAGCGCCGGUGAUGGCGGCGACGGGCAACGCAGUCGGGUGCGUCGCGAGGAAGGAGGGGACGAGGCGGGACAAGCAAGCCGCCGGGACAUCCUCUUCGCCGCCGCCGGGGGGCCGCCUCGUCGCCACGACGGCCAGCGGCAGCAGGAUGGGAGGAGGCACAAGUGCAAGGUGGCGCCGGCUGCGACGGGGUGCGUGGCGACCGACAGCGGGGGAGAGGAGCUGGGCGCAGCAGGCGAAGAUGGGCGGCCGGCUCAUCCCCGCUGCCGCCGCCCACGCCCGCGGCGAACGGUGAAGGUGAAGGGGUAGAGCUUGUGGCGACGGAACUUAGGGAAGCAAGAGCGGAGGGCGACGUCCUCGGCGGCGGAGGAGGAGAGGCUGGCAUCCCCACCCGCGACAUCCCCGUCGACCUCGUCGGCGCCAAGCUCCUCCCCCACCAGCCGCGCACGCCCGUCGCCCGUCGCCCGUCGCCCGUCGAUGUAGAGCACCAAGUUCAUCUCCGCCUGGCACGGCCCGCCGCAGAACGCCUCCGCCGCCUCCGAAUCUCCGAUGGCACACCGCACACCUAGCGCGCCCUCCGGACAAGCCUGUACUGCCCCUGGCACCCGCUGUAGAUCUUUACCCGGCCACCAAUGCAAGAACACACACAUCCAAGAUUGCAGAACGUCAAAAACAGAAUGAUGGCCCCGGCAAUGAUGUCUUCAGUGUUUCUUUUCUGACCAUGGAAGGGUGUUGCUGCCUCGUCUGCGACGGCGAUGGCGACAUGCAUCUAGAUGGGGCUGUGAGCAGCACGAUGGGCAGAGCCCGGUCGGGAGGAGGAGGACGGCGCCGGAGACGGCGAGCGUGAGGAAGCCGACGACUUGGGUGGAGUUGGGCGCGUGCGUUUGCACCGCCGGAGCGUCGAUGACAAGUCCGCCGCCGCGGGCGCUUACCUUACCCAUGGCGUUGCGUCGGACGUGCGCGUGCUGCUGCCGAUGGGAAGAAAAAAAAGAGUCUGACAUAUGGGACCCACGUGGGUCCCACGCUGAGUCAACUGCCACGUAGGACAAAACCGGGUGUAAUACUGCUCUAGGAGCUAUUGUAACCGGUUUUAAUUAGUUAAGAGACACUGGAUAUCUGGUUUUGCGGUUUGAAAACGUUUUUUUAACUCGAUGACAAGUUCAGGGACCUUCGGUGUACUUUUUCCUACGAGCAAUUUACUCCUCGUGAUAGGCCUUCAAUGGUGACACUGUGACAGGCCAGA